Molecule: small nucleolar RNA, 72 nt
Filed under: Caenorhabditis remanei
Lineage: Eukaryota; Metazoa; Nematoda; Chromadorea; Rhabditida; Rhabditidae
Also listed under: 1 other name
Description: Small nucleolar RNA sn2317
Rfam family: Small nucleolar RNA sn2317
Source: Rfam by way of RNAcentral
CGUCAAUGAUGUCCUAAUCUACGAUUUAAUUCGAAUUGCUGUGAGAUAAUCUGAUGCAAAACAACUGAGACU